RNAcentral lists this transfer RNA (74 nucleotides) under Candidatus Omnitrophota bacterium. Its description in RNAcentral is "Candidatus Omnitrophica bacterium tRNA-Val". It matches the Rfam family "tRNA". Rfam says of the family: Transfer RNA (tRNA) molecules are approximately 80 nucleotides in length. Their secondary structure includes four short double-helical elements and three loops (D, anti-codon, and T loops). The record is from RNAcentral. Lineage: Bacteria; Pseudomonadati; Candidatus Omnitrophota.
GGGCAUUUAGCUCAGUUGGUUAGAGCGCUACACUCACAUUGUAGAGGUCAGAGGUUCAAGUCCUCUAAUGCCCA